RNAcentral lists this ribosomal RNA (253 nucleotides) under uncultured prokaryote. RNAcentral's name for it is "partial 16S ribosomal RNA". It matches the Rfam family "Bacterial small subunit ribosomal RNA", at positions 525 to 777 of the family's 1533-position model. The record is from RNAcentral.
ACAGAGGGUGCAAGCGUUAAUCGGAUUUACUGGGCGUAAAGCGCGCGUAGGCGGCUAAUUAAGUCAAAUGUGAAAUCCCCGAGCUUAACUUGGGAAUUGCAUUCGAUACUGGUUAGCUAGAGUGUGGGAGAGGAUGGUAGAAUUCCAGGUGUAGCGGUGAAAUGCGUAGAGAUCUGGAGGAAUACCGAUGGCGAAGGCAGCCAUCUGGCCUAACACUGACGCUGAGGUGCGAAAGCAUGGGGAGCAAACAGGA